Molecule: unclassified non-coding RNA, 396 nt
Filed under: soil metagenome
Description: partial contains 5.8S ribosomal RNA, internal transcribed spacer 2, and large subunit ribosomal RNA
Rfam family: 5.8S ribosomal RNA (bases 1-120)
Source: RNAcentral
GAUGAAGAACGUAGCGAAAUGCGAUAAGUAGUGUGAAUUGCAGAAUUCAGUGAAUCAUCGAAUCUUUGAACGCACAUUGCGCCUCCUGGCAUUCCGGGAGGCAUGCCUGUUCGAGCGUCAUCAAACCCCAUCGUGCAAAUGAAUUAUUUUUUUUGCGCGGAAGUGACGAUUGAGCGAGAAUAACAAAUCCUCUCGCACCUCGUCGAAAUGAUUGCGGGCGGAAUUUGGGAUCGGGUUCCUCGGCGUAGUGUAUCAAUGCAUAUUUAUGCAACUUGCCGCGGAGUUGAGCCUGACCCACGCGUGCUCGCCGUACAAACACCUCAUUACUUUACAAGUUUUUGACCUCGGAUCAGGUAGGGAUACCCGCUGAACUUAAGCAUAUCAAUAAGCGGAGGA